This 546-nucleotide ribosomal RNA is filed under the name Bacillus pumilus. RNAcentral's name for it is "bacterial SSU rRNA". It matches the Rfam family "Bacterial small subunit ribosomal RNA", at positions 551 to 1096 of the family's 1533-position model. Lineage: Bacteria; Bacillati; Bacillota; Bacilli; Caryophanales; Bacillaceae. The record is from RNAcentral.
AUAUUGGGCGUAAGGGCUCGCAGGCGGUUUCUUAAGUCUGAUGUGAAAGCCCCCGGCUCAACCGGGGAGGGUCAUUGGAAACUGGGAAACUUGAGUGCAGAAGAGGAGAGUGGAAUUCCACGUGUAGCGGUGAAAUGCGUAGAGAUGUGGAGGAACACCAGUGGCGAAGGCGACUCUCUGGUCUGUAACUGACGCUGAGGAGCGAAAGCGUGGGGAGCGAACAGGAUUAGAUACCCUGGUAGUCCACGCCGUAAACGAUGAGUGCUAAGUGUUAGGGGGUUUCCGCCCCUUAGUGCUGCAGCUAACGCAUUAAGCACUCCGCCUGGGGAGUACGGUCGCAAGACUGAAACUCAAAGGAAUUGACGGGGGCCCGCACAAGCGGUGGAGCAUGUGGUUUAAUUCGAAGCAACGCGAAGAACCUUACCAGGUCUUGACAUCCUCUGACAACCCUAGAGAUAGGGCUUUCCCUUCGGGGACAGAGUGACAGGUGGUGCAUGGUUGUCGUCAGCUCGUGUCGUGAGAUGUUGGGUAAAGUCCCGCAACGAG